Molecule: ribosomal RNA, 563 nt
Filed under: uncultured archaeon
Lineage: Archaea
Description: bacterial SSU rRNA
Rfam family: Archaeal small subunit ribosomal RNA
Source: RNAcentral
CGGGGUGCAGCAGGCGCGAAAACUUUACAAUGCGGGAAACCGUGAUAAGGGAACUCCGAGUGCCCGUAAAAUCAGGCUGUCCAUCUGUUUAAAUAACAGGUGAAGAAAGGGCCGGGCAAGACCGGUGCCAGCCGCCGCGGUAAUACCGGCGGCUCGAGUGGUGGCCACUAUUACUGGGCUUAAAGCGUUCGUAGCUGGUCUGUUAAGUCUCUGGGGAAAUCUACUGGCUUAACCAAUAGGCGUUUCAGGGAUACUGGCAGACUAGGGACCGGGAGAGGUGAGGGGUACUCCAGGGGUAGGAGUGAAAUCCUGUAAUCCUUGGGGGACCACCUGUGGCGAAGGCGCCUCACCAGAACGGCUCCGACAGUGAGGGACGAAAGCUGGGGGAGCAAACCGGAUUAGAUACCCGGGUAGUCCCAGCCGUAAACGAUGCGCGUUAGGUGUAUCGGUGACCACGAGUCACCGAGGUGCCGAAGAGAAAUCGUGAAACGUGCCGCCUGGGAAGUACGGUCGCAAGGCUGAAACUUAAAGGAAUUGGCGGGGGAGCACAAGGGCGAAUUCGC